RNAcentral lists this long non-coding RNA (14632 nucleotides) under Panax ginseng (ginseng). Its description in RNAcentral is "long non-coding RNA (PGIN_LNC010200)". Lineage: Eukaryota; Viridiplantae; Streptophyta; Magnoliopsida; Apiales; Araliaceae. The record is from RNAcentral.
GUCGCGCUAAGGCGUGUGUUGGGGGAGAAGGAAGGUGGAGAUCGGAGUGGUAUCCCAAGAAUGAGACGCUGCUUCAUCUGGGGGCAAAGAAAUCUAACAUCAGCAGCCUUUCUACUAAUAACACUAAUUCUACUAGUUCACUCGCAAUCAUCAUCAUCUGCAGCUGAAAAAGAUCAAGAAGAAAAUGGGCAACUGUGGUACUAGGGAGGAAUCUGCCGUCGUUUCCAAUGCUCAUCAAGGUUCUUCCCUACUCCUUUUUUACUACUUAUAUAUUGAUUAGUACUUUUUGGUUAUUCUCUUUCAUAAUCUUCCAGAUCUAGGGUAUUUCCCCUUUCCCGAAAUUCCCUUUCCACUCUAUUAAGCGCUUCAAUUUCCUCUUUUUAGUUCAUUCUCUCUCCCUCACGCACACAUACUUGAAUUGUUCUUUGAUUUUUGGGAGUUUCUUUGCUGUGUUACAUAUAUGCAGUUCCUGCAUAAUGUGCCAAAAAGGUUUAGACUUCUUCAGGUUAGGAUAUGUUGACAUUUUUUUAGUAUUACUUGGUUUGGUCUUAUACACUACUACAUAGAAAGAUAUAAAUUAUAACGCACAUAAUGAUGGAUAGUUCAGCAGCUCAGAUGCUGUCUGGUAGAAAUCAUCAUCAGUACCAUCAUAAUAAUAGUAAAAAUGGAAAUGCUACAGCAGCAGCGGCACCUCCAGAGAAGAAGCAUAGUCGUUCCAUCUCAGAUCUGAGCGAUCCUUCAUCCACCCCUCGCAGCUUCUUCAUCGAGGACUCAAGGAAGAAUGCCUUGCACUACACCCAUGUCAUUGCCUUCACCCUAUUCGAGCUCGAGACCAUUACUAAGAGCUUUCGCUCUGACUACAUUCUGGGGGAGGGUGGUUUUGGUACUGUAUACAAGGGCUACAUCGACGAGAAUGUCAGGGUUGGCCUUAAAUCUCUUCCAGUUGCUGUCAAGGUUCUCAACAAGGAAGGCCUACAGGGCCACCGUGAGUGGCUUGUAAGUUCUCUUCUUUAUUAUUAUUUUUUCCUCCCACCUAUUCUCCUUGCACAUACCAAUCCAUUUUUUUAACUAUCUUAUUGUGUCCUUAUUACUCCAUCUCAGACAGAGGUUAACUUUCUCGGGCAGCUUAGGCAUCCCAAUCUUGUGAAGUUGAUUGGCUAUUGUUGCGAGGAUGAUCACCGGUUACUUGUUUAUGAGUUCAUGUUCCGCGGAAGCCUUGAGAAUCACCUCUUCCGAAGUACGUACCUUUCUCUCUUCCCUUAUUCCCUUCAUUUUUGCAUCUGAGAAGGGUGGGAUUUGUGACACAACACAAGUGCAACACGAGAAAAAAGACUUUGGGUGACUUUCGUUAAUAAGUGGGUUGACACAUUCAACGCGAACUUUAAGUGGAUUGGGUGUGUUAGUGAGUCCUAACCAGUUGACAAUUUAACACGAUUUAAUUCAUUUGAUUAGGAUGACAAUAUAAUAGUUAAUAGAUGAUAAAAAUGACGCUAUUUAUUGCCUUGGAUAAUCAAGUUAUAAAUUUCUUAGUCAUUUAUUGGUUUUGUUAAAUGGGUUGUCUUUUGUUAAAAGAAUCAUGUUGUUAUUUGCAAAAUAAGCAAAAUGAGUCGUGUAUGCAACACAAGUUACACAAGCUGCUUAUUAAACGCGUUCAACUGGUUGAUGUUUAUCACUGUUAAUAAACAGGUUAGUGUUAGGGUUGUCGGUUGAGGUUCUCGAGUCAUGACAUGAUUGGUUAAAUGGGUCUUAUUUGGGUUGACUUGUUUAGCAUAAUACCUAUGAGUUAACAUGAUAGUGGAUUUUAGAAGUACCAAGUCUUUUUUUUGGAUGGUGUUAUGUUUUUUAAUUGAGAAUUGUAAUCAUUUUCCUUAACCUUAAGCUGCGAUAAGAACAUGCAACUUCAAACUUAGAGCUAGUUACUUAAUUUUUGUUUAAAAAAAAUAAAAUAAGAAAAAGAAGUGAAUCCUAAGAGCUAGUUAUCAUCUAGAUUAGAACAGACCAAAGAACCAUAAGCUUAUAAGAAGAGGUAAUGUUGCAGGAAUCAUAUGUGGUUCCUGUCUUUUAUAGUGCAAUUUAUAAUUUAUGCCUUAAGCACUAGUUCAUCUUAAUAUCAUAUUGGUUUGAAAGAAAUUGGUUAUAAAACUACAAGGAUGAGGUUUUAUAAUAUGGAAAGAUAAAAUGUAGGAAUGUAAAAUUAACCGAAAAAAUAAGCAUCCUUAUGCCGGGAAGGCGGGUGGGGCUGCGGAUGGGCUAGGGAGGUGCUAUGGAGGGUGUUGAAACAUCAGUGGACGAGAAUAUACUUCAAGCAAUAUGCUUAAGAUAAGAUUCAAUUAUUUUUCUUUCCAAGUUCAGUUUGUUAACGUCUUAUAUCAUGUUUUGCAUGAUCAGUUUUGCAAGUUAUGAUCAUUAGAGUGUCUUUUAUCUUGUUUUCAAAUUAUAGGUAACACUGUUGAGAACUCUUUGUAUAAUGCUAAUGAUAUUAUAUAAAUCAAUGCUUUCUAGUUAGGGUGUUGAUUAUGUUAACUUAAUUCAAUGUGAACUCUCUCGAGGCAUUCAGAGGCCACUGUUCCACUAUCUUGGUCAACAAGGAUGAUGAUUGCUCUUGGGGCAGCAAAAGGGCUUGCUUUCCUUCACAAUGCUGAGAGGCCAGUUAUCUACCGUGAUUUCAAAACUUCCAAUAUCUUGUUGGACUCUGUAAGUGUUCUUCUCUAGUUUAAUUAUUAGAGACUUAAUUUUUCUCAAAGCCAACUUUAUGAAACAACCCGGGUCAAAUUCCGAGUCUGAAUUAAAUUAAAUUCAUCCAAACAAGGCCUUAAACCACUAGCCCAAUAGUAUCUUCUUGUGUCACCUUAGCCCACAACAGGCUCACCCAAAAGGUCAUGACUGAAGAAACUAUUGUUAGUAACUCAAUUCUGUAUACACAGUCAAACUUUUUUCCAUAUCUUUCGAUGUAGAAAUGCACGGUCCACAGAUCUUUUCCUCUGCCAUGGUGGGAUAAUACUUGACUGGCUUCGUGUCGCCGUUUAUUGAAUUUGUUGCUAUCUUUUAGACAGAGAAUGAUGUAUCUUGUUUGGCUGUCUGUGAACCUGCAGGAUUAUACUGCUAAGCUUUCUGAUUUUGGGCUUGCGAAAGCUGGGCCACAAGGUGAUGAGACUCAUGUAUCAACUCGGGUGAUGGGUACCUAUGGUUAUGCUGCCCCUGAAUAUGUAAUGACUGGUAUGGCUUUUGACAUCUCAUGAUGGCUUUAAUCUUGACGCUUGAUCCCUACCUGUUGCACAAAAGAUAUUAAUGCACCUAAAUUGGGAGUUUGAUGAAAUAGAAAUUGGAUGACACGUGUUAAUGUUUGUACCAACUGGAGAAAGGAACAGAAUAAAGAGAAUAGGGAUAGAGAAAUCCUUAAAAUUAGAGUUAGGGGAUGGCAAAAGGGUGGAGAAAACUCACUAAGUGGGUGCAGAACCUCUAACAAUUUAGUUCAUGGAAAACUAAACCUUUAUUUGAGUAAACUCUAAAUUAUACUCCCUUCGUUCCACAUAAUAGUCCCAUCUGUAUUUUUGUUUUACGUUUAUCCCUCAAAAAUAUAACUUGAUGGUUCAAUAGUAGUGGCAUGAUAAUGUAAUUAUGAUGGCAAGCUUAAGGACAUUGUGUCACUUCGUACUACUAUCAGACUCUUUUUAUGGAACAAAAAAAUUGGCAACUUUGAUUUUUUUGUGGAACAGACGGAAGACGUGGUAAAAAAUAUUCUUCGCCCCUUUUCCAUUACACCACAUACAUAUUUACAAAUGCAAAAUAAUUCAACCACUAAAUACAACUCCCCUAACCCACUUAUAUAACUAACUCCAACUAUUUAAUCCAUUACUACCACAACUAAAUACAAAUAAAACUCAUUUAACUACUAUGUUAACACAAUUAAAAUAUACUACUAAUAAAGUUAAAUUUGUGAAAAUAACUGUUUCCUAUUUUUGGAAGACUUAAAUAUAAAUUAGUAUCCUAAACUAUGGGUCAUAUUCCACUUCGGUGAUCCACAUUUCAAUUUUGUCAAUUAGAUGAUUUAACUAUUAAUUUUUUUUACAUCCAUUCAAUUGAGCCUGCUAUGUCACAAAUUGAUGAUGUGGUAGGUAGGCCAUAGUGCAGUAGAUGUGUAACAAAAAAAGAUUAUUUUAAUAUUUAUUUACACAUUUAUUAUACAUUAAAGGGUAAAUUCGUCAAACCACCCUAAGAUUUCACCCAAAAUGGAAUCAAUUCAUCAUCCAAAUCGGAUUCAAUUCAUCUUCAUCAUUCACGGAAAGACGCUUCGAAUCAAGCAUAAAUUCUUAAUCACAUAUCAAUGAAACACAAACACAAAUUCGAUCAUAUAAAGUAAUAAUAAACACAUCACAUAAUCACAGAUAACAAGAUUUGUACAUUAAAAUCAACCAAUUCUAAUAUUAUUAUUUUAAUUUAAACAAUAAUACCAACAAUCACAGUUCGAUCCAUUCUAGUCGUUGAACUAUCGGCCAGGGACCUCCACACGAUGUCCUUAAGUGCCAGCCGAAGCUCCUUACUACAGAAUUGGUUGUACUACAAAGUAUCACCACUCGACUUUACUUCCACCACCAAAAAAGACGGCAUUAUGGUGAAAAUCCCCGCCAAAUCAACACCGGAAUUGCUCUUCUUCACGCUAAAUUUCACUGACUUGGCCACCUCCUCCAACUUCAAAAUCACGCUACUCGCUGAUCUCGUCAUCGCAAAUCUCAGCUCUUAUCUCUCCUCUCUCUUCUCCUCAAGCAACGACGCCAAAUCAAACCUCUUUGAGCAAAUCCUUCUUUUUUGACUUUUAAACUCCUCGGCACCGUCAAUUCACCGCCGUUGAUUAUGAAGAAGACGAGGAGCAGUAAGAGGAGGAUUAUGAUUUGGAUGAUGAAUUGAUUUCAUUUUGGGUGAAAUCUUAGGACGAUUUGACAAAGUUGCCCAUUAAUGUAUAAUAAAUGUGUAAAUAAAUAUUAAAAUAAUAUUUUUUAAUUACACAUCAGCUGUACUAUGGCCCAGAGAGCCACAUCAUCAAUUUGUGACAUGACAUGCUCAAUUGAAUGGAAGUGAAAAAAAAUUAAUAGUUUAAUCAUCUAAUUGACAAAAUUGAAAGUUAGAUCACCAAAGUGGAAUAUAACUCAUAGUUUAGAGUAGUAAUUUAGAUUUAAGCCUUUUUGAAAUGACAUCAUCAAGAUGCCAUACAUUCUAGUAGUUGACCGAGAAUAGAAGGAUUUGAUGGGAGGAGAUGGUGGCACCAUUCUUUUUUCCAAUAUAUAAUUCUAAUAGUAACAUAAACUGUUAUAGUUGGCUGAAUCUAAAGCUCUGUUCUGGUUAAUUUGUGAAAACUAUUUGAUAGAUCUUCAAGUCUCUUUACAAAUUGUGACUUUCAUUGAGGCGUGGCAGUUAGUUUGAUGCUCAUUGUUUUUCUUCUUCUUUUAAAUUGGUUAAUUUGUCCUCUCAAUUGUUAUGACAUGGAAAAUGGAUUAUAAUAUGAACUUUGAAGUUCUUUCCCCUAGUAUUAGGAAGCACUGACACGUCCUGGAAGCCCACGAAUUCGUGUUGGACACUAAUUCGCUCCGACACGCACUCGACACGUGUCCGUGGGCUUCCCUUUUUCUUUUUCCUUUUUAAAACUCAAACAUGCCUGAGGUGUGUCUCGACACGCAAAGGACAUGCCUAGGGUAAAUUUUUUUAAAAAAAUAAAAAUUCUAGGUACCCAUAUGCAAUUGGUACCUUUUAAACCUAAUUCCUUCAAGUCGGACCAUAUCCAUAUGGUGUAGGCUGCAUAUGUUAUAGGAAAAUGACAUACAUGUCAACAAAUAUUUGACGAAGUUGAAUUACGACCAACGUGGAAGUGUAUGCGAUAAGAUAAAAUAAAUUAAAGUGAGACUCUUAUUCCUACUUAUCCCGUGUAUGCACAUACGUCGCAUUCAUAAUUCGGUUGAAAACUUUCGCAAUGUAUAGCGGUACUCUAUGUUAUAAUUUGUAUAUGGACCCAUGUGGGCUGCCUAAAAUGGGUAUGUUAUAAAUUUGUUUAAGUUUUUAUCACGCUCUAUUAACAAUUAAAUUUAUUUAUUGUAAACAAUACAUUUACAUUGUUAAAAAUAUAAAAAAAAAAUUGAACGUGUCCUCGAAGUAUCGUGUCCUGUUUUUUUGGAAAAUGUCGUAUCCCGUGUCGCGUAUCUUGUUGUGUCCAUGUCAGAGUCGGUGCUUCAUAGCCCUGGUAUAAUGGUCUGUUUGCUUGUACAGGUCUGUUGCUUUUAUUCAACUUUAGAUACCAAGCAACUUAAAUGAUACAAAUUGUUUGUGUAAGAAUUAAUCUGUUAGUAACGGAAAAACAUAGCAUACCAUAGGCUAUGUUUGGAUUCACAAUUGUAGGAGAACAUGUUUUAUAAUGGAAAGGGGAAAAGAAUCCAGUCUUAAGCAUCUAGAAAUAGUUUUCUAUGUUCUCCAAGAACUUGGAAUGUAGUAUUUAAAUUAAAGUGCCCCAGAAUUGUCCUUGUUCCUGCUAACUUGAGUUGUGUUGUCAUGCUUGACAAAGCAUACUGAUAACUGCUAAACCAAUGGUUUACAACACACAAUGGCAAUAACAACAUUCACUAUUUCUUUUGGCUACGUAAUAAGAUGAGAUAUCUUGUGAUAUUGCUAGAGCUAUAACUAUUAAGGCUAGAACAUUUUUUUAUUUUUGAUAAAAAAGAAUAAUUUUUAUUGAUUAGAGGAUAAAAUUAUAAUGCAUAACGAGGACAAGAAGUCCUCCCAAAAGAAAUUAAAGAAAACAAAAUGAGGAUAACUUGAUAUUAAUGAAGCAUCGCCUGCCAAUCUCUAUGAAAAUCGGAUAAAGAAAUUCCUCCAAAAGCUCCCAUUGCAUGAGCCCAGAGAGAAGCAAAUAAAGAUGUUUUAUCCCAAAACAACUUAAUAUUUGUAAUCCGAUCGCAAAAAAUGCUAGCAUUCUUUUCAAUUCAAAUUUCCCACAAAAUAGCAAAACAAACACAUCUCCAAAGAAUCCUUUUAUCAUUCUACCAAAACCCUUGAAUUUGUAUAGUAAAAGAUCUAACACUGAAGAGGGACGUAUCCAACUUUCACCCGUCACACUAAACAAACAACACCACAACCGCCAAAGCAUCAAACAGUGAGGAAAUAAAUGAGAAUGAGACUCACUAUCCUUCAAACACAUUACACACAUCUGGAAUAAAGAUUUGUAAGGCUUACGCAUUUUACGCAUAUCAUUAGUGUUAAGCCGACCAAGAGUUAAGGACCACAUAAAAAUCUUAAUUUUUGAGGGAGCCUUUGCUUUCCAAAUAUUAGAGGCUAGAGGAAAAUGAUGAACUGAAUAAGUAAGUGAAAAAAGAAUGACACGAGAAGAUUUUGAAGAAUCAAAACACCAAACACGCCCAUCCAAGGACUAAGAAAAUGAAACUGAAUUAAGAAGUUGAAUAAAUAAAGAGAAUUCCUCCGUCUCCCUAUCAUUUAAAUUGCGGAAAAAAAUGAAAAUUCCAAGAAAUUGAAUCUCCGUCUCAAGUAUAGAAAUUAGAAAUGGGAGAAUUAUGCUCAGACGAGAGAUAAAAAAGACGAAGAAAAACUAAUGAAAGAGGAACAUCUCCUAACCAAAUAUCAUCCCAAAAUCGAAUAUUCAUCCCAUUACCAACUUAGAGACAAACAAGAAAAUAAAAGGUAGCGUAAUCUUGGGAGAUAAAUUUUCAAGGACUAGAAUAAGUAUCACGAGAAGGACAAGGAUUUGCAUUCUACCCAUUCUGUUGAAUUUCAUACUUGCUUUUAAUCACUUGAUGCCAAAGAGAGUCCAGUUCCAAAAGAAAGUGCUAUAACCAUUUGUUCACUAGAGCUCGGUUCUUAGACACUUACAAGAACUAAACCACCUUCCUCUCCAGGACAACACAUCUCAAUCAACCAAGUGGCUUUCCUAUCCAAAGUAUCCCCAACCCAUAAAAACUUGCACAUAAUACGUUCAAGAGAUUUGACUACCCCUACCUUAAACAACGAGAGAUAAUAAAGAGGAAUACUUACUAAACAAGCCUGGAUAAGAGUAAUCCUCCCACCCAUGGGUGAGAAGUAAGAAUCUUUUCAACAAUCAAGCCUCCUACCCACUCGCUCUACUACAGGAUCCCAAAAAGAUCUUAGAUUACCACCUAAAGGGACCCCUAAAUAAGUCCUAGGUAAAUAGUAACUUCACACCCAACUAGUGAAGCGUAAGAAAGAAGAACAUCUUCCAUAUUAAUACCAGUGAGACUACACUUUGAAAGAUUAAUUUUCAUACCUGAUGUAAACUCAAAAAUUUGAAGGAACGACAAGACAUUCUUAAAACUAGUAACACCUUAAGCGAGAAAAAGAAUGGUAUCAUCCGCAAACUGAAGAUGAGAAACUCUAACUUCUUCUCGAUCAACUACACAACCAUUAACAAGACCGUCUAUAUCACUUUUUCAAAUCAUCUACUCAAAACAUCCACCACAAGAGUAAAGAGAACUGGGGAAAACAUAUCCCCUUGUCUAAUAAAGAGAACUGGGGAAAACAUAUCCCCUUGUCUAAGAGCUCUAGGUGUCUUGAACUAAGAUUUAGGCUCUCCAUUAACAAUCACAAAAAGAUUGGAAGAAGAAAAACAACUCUUAAUCCACAUUCUCCAUUUAAGCCCAAAAUCUUUCCUAAUUAAAACCUUAUCUAGAAAGUUUCAAUUAACCCUAUCGCAGGCUUUCUCAAAAUCCAACUUCAAAAUCAAAGCCACAUGCCUUCUUCGUUUCACAUCUUCCACCACCUCAUUAGCAACUAAAGUUGCAUCUAGAAUUUAUUUGCCACCCAUAAAAGCACUCUGGUUAAAAGAAAUAGUACCAUCUAAGACAUCUCCAAUAUACUUAGAAAGAAUCACUAACUCCAAUAUGCUCAGAAAGAAACUUAGUGAGAAUCGUAUACACACUGGUCACUAAGCUUAUAGGUCUAUAAUCUCCCGGAUAGAUCUAUCCUUCUUAGGAAUUAAAGUAAUGAAGGUAGAGUUAAUGCUCUUACACAAAACUCCAUUAGCAUGAAACUCUUGGAAGAAAUUCAAAAGAUCAUCCUUGAUAGUACUCCAACACUGUUGAAAAAAAGCUAAAAAAAAAUCCAUCCGGACCUAGAGCUUUGUCACCCUCCAUCCCUACAGCAGUCCGUCUAAUUUCCUUUUCCAAAGGCCUCUCUAACCACAAACUCUUAUCCCCCUCAAUAGGAUCCCACUGCAGCCCCUCAAUCAUAAUCCUAGUACAACUAAAGCAUUUUAGAUGGGGUUAAAUCACUUUUGCCUCACUGAAAUAAACAAUAAUUUAUGUAUGCAUCACUGAAUUAAUUAUUUUUACAAUCGACUCACUAAACUGGAAAUUUUUUUACAAAGCGUUACAAAAUCUAUUAACUUGUUUUUUACUUUUAACGGAAUGACUAGCAUGCAGGAGAGAGGUUGAGUUUAAGUCAUAUAUAUGUCAACGUGGCAAUGCCAUAGUGGAAAAGAAAAAAAAUACUUACGAUAAAGUUGAAUUAACUAAUUACACGUUAUCAUCACAUUAAUUCAAACAUUAUCAUCACAUUUUUUUCUUACAUAAUAAACAUAAACCAGAUUUCAAACAAGAUUUGAUAUUCACGAGGGAAAUACAAAGAAAAAGACCAUUAAAAACAAGAUUUCAUAUUCAGAUUUCAAACAAGAUUUCAAAAAACUAGACUACACAAGCCGAAUUUCAUAUUCAAACACAACCCAAUACCUCAUUUAUUUUCUUUUUGAAAACAAUCAGUACCUCACUUGAAUCAUUCAACCAUUUUUAUUUUCUUUCUUCUUUUCCGUUGUUGAUCUGGAAAGAUAAUAGUCGCCGAAAAAAAUGGAGGCGGCUAGACCCAUCAACUCUCUCUCUCUCUCUCUAUAACUUCUGCCUCCGAACACAUGUUGAGGCCUUCAAUGAAACUCCCAUCUAUAUGUAAUCAGCCAAUUUCUUAAAUCUGAUUUUUAUUUUUCCUUUUACGGCGAAGUUCGAUGGGAUAUGGGUGAGAACCGACUGAAUCUUUGACGGGUAAAGAUGGUGUUGUAGAAGAAUAUGAAUAAUUGAUUUAUUCCUUUUGUGGUCUGAAAAAUGAGUUAUGGAAUUGGGGAAGAAAGAGAUGAUUGGUCUCUUUAUUUUGGUAGAUCUGAGAUUUUGCAGGUUGUCGAUAGAGUUGACUAUUGGUUAAAUCUGAGUUGAGGUGGAGUUUAGACUGUGGGUAAAUGAUUUGGUGUAGAAGUGUGAGAUGUAAGCAGUGGUGAUUAUGGCGAAUGGUGAUGGUAUUGGAGGUUUUGGGGGAGUUCAUGCAGAGAAGAUGAUGUUUAUUUUCUUUUUCUUCUUUUUUUUUAAUUGUGAAAAGAGGAAGAUGAAUCUAAAUGUAUAAAAUGGUUAAAAAUAAAGUUUUUUUUCUUAAUUAUAAAUACGCAUUAUCACCGCCAAAUCUGCUGAAUAAUCCGCAUAAGCAUCCAAUGUGGUUCAGUUUAGUAGGCGAAAAUGAUUUAACCCAUUUUAAAUGCCUUUUUUAAUGUGUUGAAAGUUGCCUCUAAAGGCCAAGGGUAAAAUAUGUUUACCUCCUAAUCCUUCACACUAUGACCCUCAUUCAACAAAAUCACUAGCCCACCCUUCUCUUAGUCUCCCUCUUGAUGUAUCCAGCUGCGAUUUUAUCUUGUUCGUAUUUAUUUACCACCGUACUUGCUAGCCAAUCCAAGUCUUCAAUGAGAAAAAGAUGGCAUCCAAAUGAAUCCGUAUUUGGAUGAAUCCUUGAACUACAGAUGGCUUUAGUCUGUAAGAAUUCUUAUAAUAUCAUGUGAACUUUGAAAUCACAAGUAAUUGUUAGGGACAAUUAAUAUACGAAUUAUGAUUCCAUCAUGUUUGACCACAAUCUUAGCAACUUAGUUGUAAUUGAAUUGUUGUGUGCAUAUAUUUAAAUUCAAAUUUACCAUAUGGAAACAAUUAAUGAAGGGAAGAUAUACCUGUGAAAGAGAAAUUUAAUUUUUGUUUUGCUACUUCAGUUCCCGCUAGCCCCAACUUGUCACAUAGCCUAUAAUUUAUACUUUCAAGGGUAUGUCUAAAAUUUAUUAUGUGGCUUAUUUACGCAAUUUUUUUUUUGUUGUGAUAUAAAUGAUUUGUGGCAAAUGCACAUCUUUGAGUACAAAAUACGCACUUAAAUGAUAUUAUUGUUCCUAUUUUAUUUGUUUAAUUUAAUUUUGCACUACUAAUCCAAGUCCCUCAUGUGAUUGUCCUGCAAUGCAGUUGGUGUUUUUCUAUUAUCUGAACUGUGAUUUAAAAUUGUAACGACCUAGGCUUAAAUUCAAGUGCAAAUCAAAUUAAGGCUUAAUCAAUUGUCCCAAUCUCAUCGACUUGUAUAAUCUUGGCCUACUAUAGACCCACCCAAAAGGUCAUGAAUAUUGGUGCCCUUGGUAGUAGAGUUAAGCCUUAUACAUAGAUAAAUCAAACCAACAUGUUUCGACAUAGAAUUAGUGUGGUAAUACUUGACGUACUCAUCAGGCCCAAAAUAAUUUUUGGGUUAACCCCUCAAGUUAUCCUCAAACUUAUAGCGAAUUUUACACUUAGUCCCUCAAUUAAUUUUUCCGCGCUAUUGGUUUGUCAACUUUUUAAAUCUUUUAAUCUUGGUAAAAAAUUUAUAAAAAACAGACGGAAUCCCCAAUUUUUAACAAAUUGUACACACGUGUGAGAGGAAAAGACAUUUUGAGGAUAUAAUUGUCCCAUAACAGUAAAUGCACAAUAAAACAAAAAGGGUUAACACUCUACUUGCCCCUAAACUUAUUGUCAAUUUCAUGUUUGGUCCCAAAUGUUUUUUUCUGCACGUUUGGUCCACCAACUUUUCAAAUCUUUUAAUCUUACUAAAAUUGGUCUAAUUUAAAUGGUGGAGCAAUUCUACUAAGAUUAAGAGAUUUAAAAAGUUGGUAGAUCAAAAGCUUGAUAAAAAAAGUUUGGGCAUCAUACGUGAAAUUAACAAUAAGUUUAGGGACGAUUGGAGGGGCCCAACAACUUACUCUAUAGCAGUUGUGAGAUAAUACCAACUACCCUCAUAUGCCCCCACCUUUGACUCUUCUAACCUUUGUAUAGCCUUUUUUGUACCCCAACGGCCCAACCUAUGACAACAUGAUCAAAUGACCCUGUUCAAACUUUCGAGAGUCAACUCUGAUAGUGUAUGUUGCGACUGUCUUAAAACCGAGUCCAAAUUAAAUUAAAGCUCAAUCCACUGCCUCAAGAGCAUCAUCAGAUUUGAUUAUCAUGGUUACAUAAUUGAUUCAUGGGCAAAUACAACUCUGUAAGAAAAAAAUAUCCACGUAAAUGAUAUAAAUUUUUUGAACAAGUUGUGCCUAUUAUGGGCUUUAGCGACGGACAGUCCGUCGCUAAACCAGUCCAUUCUUGAGCUGGCCUGUUACUUUAUUUGCUUAAAUUUUUACAUAGAGAAUUUGUUAUCCUUGAUAACAUCAUUGAACAAAUCUUUUCUGCUUUGCUUAAUUUUGAAGUUAUAGAUACCAUAAAGGCAUCAACAUAUGUAGCCAUUAAUGUUCGACUACAUAUGUUAUGUAACACCCCAGUCCCACAUUGAAAAAUAUGAAAAAAAUUUGUCUGUAUAUAAAGAAUUAAGAUACUAUUGGACUAGUAAUUUAAGAUCUUGUUUAGAUGGAUUUGAUUUGAGAUUUUUUUCGGGCUUGGAAUUUGACCCGAGAUUUGACUCGGAUUGUUUCAUAUGGUAUUAGAGCCGACUCUAAAGCUCGGGUUGAGUCAUCCAAUUGGGUUGCCGAAGGUGGGGACACAAAGGCUGGUGGUAUUAUCCCACAAUGCAGAGAGGUCAGGAGGUGGGGACACGAAGCCAGUCGAUAUUAUCUCACAAUGGCUAGAGAGAAAGAUCUGUGGACCGUGUGUGUGAUCGAUUAUGACAGGAACGUCAUAAAUUUAAGUGGGGGAGUUUGUAACACCCCAAUUUCACAUCGAAAGAUAUGAGGAAAAUUUGUCUGUAUAUAAAGAAUUAAGUUACUAACAAUAGUAACUUCAAUCAUGACCUUUUGGGUGAACCUGUGGUGGGUUAAGAUGACCCAAGAAGAUAUACUAUUGAAGGCCUUGUUUUGGAUGGAUUUGAUUUAAUUCAGACUUGGAUUUGACCCGAGAUUUGUUCCGGACUCGGGAUUUGACCCGAGUUGUUCUAUGUUAACACACAAAGCAUCACAUUUUCUUCUCUUCAGUAUAUAAUUUGUAUCGAGUAUAUCCAUGUAAAUAAUUUAAAUUUUUCUAAAAUUAUCCCUGGCUUGUUUUUUACAAGAACUGAGUGAUGGGAGAGGAGAGGUCAGGCUGACCAAGGGUAGUAUUACUAAUGAUAUGAUGGAAAAAGAUGUGUAAAUCGUGCAUAUAUUUUAUGAUAAAAGGAUAUCACUUGCAUUAAAGCUAGUGUUUGUAUGUUUGCCUGCUUGCUUGGGUCUUGUUUUAAUACUUUCAGAAAAGUUUUAUGUACUUGAAUGUAUUUCUUUUUUAUACAUGCUCAUUUUACUAAAACAAAGUGCGGCUGAAAUGAGCAGGACAUCUUACUGCGAGGAGUGAUGUGUACAGCUUCGGAGUUGUUCUUUUGGAGUUGUUGACAGGGAGGAAGUCUGUUGACAAGACACGACCAAGCAAAGAGCAGAGCUUGGUGGACUGGGCCCGGCCAAAGUUGAAUGACAAGAGAAAAUUAUUGCAAAUAAUAGACCCUAGAUUAGAGAAUCAAUAUUCGGUGAGGGCAGCCCAGAAAGCUUGCAGCUUGGCAUACUAUUGCCUAAGCCAAAACCCAAAAGCAAGGCCCUUAAUGAGCGACGUGGUUGAGACUUUAGAGCCUCUACAGAGCAGCACCAAUGGUGCAAAAGAAGUUUUAUCAUCCUUGUCAUCAUCAUCGAUCCCUCCCCUGAUGGGUGCUGGUGGCUCGUUUGCCUUGGCAGGGUUUGCUGACUACAGGAUGCAUCAAAGGUUUGCUGGCACAGUUGUUGCAAGUGCUGGUUUUCGGUCUCCCAAUGCAAAUUGUUCUCCCAGUGGCCCUGCAGCAUGUAGAGUUAGGUGAGACAUGAUGUCAGUAAUAUGUACAACUGUAUCAGUGUGGUGGUGUUGUUUUCAGCUUUUGAAACCUGAGUGAAUUUGCUGCUUUGUACCUGAUGUACAUGGUAAUGAUUACCAAGCCCUGUGUUCAUUGUUGUUCUUCCAGCAUUUUCGUGGCGUUCUUCUCAUGUGAAAUUUUAUAUUAGAUGCCAUUAUAGGUGGACAUCAAACGAAGUUGAUUCAUUCCGUUGAUAUGCUUGGGGUUGACUAUGGUGCCUCGGUCGGUCGGUGCAAGGAGUAUCCAUUUAGCAUUGUUAGGCUAUGGCAAUUACUCUAUUUUCACACAAUCGUUGCGCUUAUGAGAAUUUGGUGCUACUAAUCAGUUAAUAUUCAAAAUUUGACAUAUUUAAUGGCGAGAGUGAAUAUAUGAAACCGAGUGAACUAAACAAAAUGGAGAUUGAAGUUGAGUAACAAGUCAUUUGCAAAAACAAAAGAUGCCAACAGUCUCAAGUUAGCAAACAUAGUACGAGAUGCCAAACUAAUUGCCAGGGCAAGGGCAAGGGGAAGGGCGCCUUCUAAUUAUUUUUGUU